RNAcentral lists this microRNA precursor (54 nucleotides) under Lotus japonicus. Its description in RNAcentral is "miR11106 stem-loop (lja-MIR11106)". Lineage: Eukaryota; Viridiplantae; Streptophyta; Magnoliopsida; Fabales; Fabaceae. The record is from miRBase by way of RNAcentral.
UCUUAUCAUAUCCUGUGUUUGAGGUGCACAUGAUAAGAACAGGAUAUGAUAAGG